This 279-nucleotide ribosomal RNA is filed under the name uncultured bacterium. RNAcentral's name for it is "partial 16S ribosomal RNA". It matches the Rfam family "Bacterial small subunit ribosomal RNA", at positions 506 to 784 of the family's 1533-position model. The record is from RNAcentral.
UGCCAGCAGCCGCGGUAAGACGGAGGCUGCAAGUGUUAUUCGGAAUUACUGGGCGUAAAGCGAGCGUAGGCUGAUUUGUAAGUUGUAUGUGAAAUCCCAGAGCUUAACUCUGGAACUGCAUCCAAAACUACAUUUCUUGAGUUUGGUAGAGGAGAGUGGAAUUCCUAGUGUAGAGGUGAAAUUCGUAGAUAUUAGGAGGAACACCAGUGGCGAAGGCGACUCUCUGGGCCAAUACUGACGCUGAGGUUCGAAAGCGUGGGUAGCAAACGGGAUUAGAUA